UUUCACACCUGACCUGGAUUCGCAUUCCCGGACCUCCGAGAGAUAAGUGGAGGGCUACGCCUCACAGAGGGGAUGAGAGCGAUGUGCCGGGUCAGGACUCGUCGGAAGGAUUUUUGAAUUAGCUCUGGAGACGGGGAUGUCCAAGAAAUGGUCCCUUUAGGCCACACGAUGGGAAAGUCUCACUUUUGAUCACAAUGCUGAGGCACGUAGGACAGAACAGUCCCGACGCAGAUCGAUUCUAUCUGUGGUGGAGCGCUCCAUACUAGGUGAGGGGGUUCGCACAGGAAGGAGGUAAAGCCGGAUCUCAGCAGUCAAUGUCAAGUGAGCGAGGCGGUCCACUUGCAUUACGCCGAACCCCCUCGCAGAACGGCCGACGGACCCGGCUCGCCGCCCUCGUGACCCCUCCGCAAGUAUCGCAAAGCUCUGCGAUGAAGCCUUGACCUUUUCCACGUGA
Molecule: long non-coding RNA, 454 nt
Organism: Corvus hawaiiensis (hawaiian crow)
Lineage: Eukaryota; Metazoa; Chordata; Aves; Passeriformes; Corvidae
Exons: 4
Source: RefSeq, a predicted model, not a curated record